UCCGUAGGUGAACCUGCGGAAGGAKCAUU
RNAcentral lists this ribosomal RNA (29 nucleotides) under Clitopilus hobsonii. RNAcentral describes it as "partial 18S ribosomal RNA". Lineage: Eukaryota; Fungi; Basidiomycota; Agaricomycetes; Agaricales; Entolomataceae. The record is from RNAcentral.